CAAGAGGUAGUUUAAUUAAAAGAUUCCGGUUUUGGGG
RNAcentral lists this transfer RNA (37 nucleotides) under Dermochelys coriacea (leatherback sea turtle). Its description in RNAcentral is "partial tRNA-Pro". The record is from RNAcentral. Lineage: Eukaryota; Metazoa; Chordata; Testudines; Dermochelyidae.